This 166-nucleotide unclassified non-coding RNA is filed under the name soil metagenome. RNAcentral's name for it is "partial contains 5.8S ribosomal RNA, internal transcribed spacer 2, and large subunit ribosomal RNA". The record is from RNAcentral.
AACGCACGAGACCUGCGGACCUGCGGAGGGAUCAUUAGUGAACGCCCUCACGGGCUUAUAACUAUUCCAAACCUCUGUGAACCGCGCCCUUCGGGGCUAUUUUACAAACAUGGUGUAAUGAACGUCAUAUAUCAUAACAAAACAAAACUUUUAGCAAUGGAUCUCU